GGGGUGUGCCACAGUGUUGUUUUGUGUUGAAAAUGUAAAAAAUAUAUAUAAUGAGCGAGUACAUCUUGAAUCCAUUUUCCAAACCGUGUUUUUGUCUUAUCCUGAAUCACUACGGUACACUUACAAUAAAUGUUUAUAUUCAGACUAUUUUAGUCUGGUUGGGGUCGGCAACGCUGCAGAGUAGCACAGUACCUGCGUGACUCGCCAUCAGGGGGAAAGGAAGUCGACCGGAAGUUGAAGUCGGCCGCGUGCCGCCAUCUUGUAGCAGAACUUCACUUGCGUUAGCAUCCCAUUGACUCCCAUUCAUUUUGGCGUCACUAUGACAGCGAAUAACUUUACAUCUGAGGCGUUUAAAGACUCCAUUUGUCCAUUAUUUAUUUCUAAAGAUACACGACAAUGUAUAAAGGGCUCCAUUACCUUCUAUGUUACAUUAUGGCCCCGUAACCACUCGACUCUCUGUCGCACAGUAAAGAAAUUACCGUACAGACAGGAGGAGAAGCUCGCAGGCAAUCGGGGAGACGUCAAGAGAUAUGGCGUACUGGCAUUACAUUUUAAAAUACUAUACAAAAUAAUUAAUCAGAAUACUUACUCCUGCUCACUCAGGCCAAAGAACUCCCCGCUCAAGCUCGCCGUCUCUGCAAGAUUAACGAUGGCAGUUUGCACGCACAGCUACUAGAAGAUUUACAUCUGUCAGACAGGUUGCUGAUGUCAUCAAGCUUAGUUUGAGUCUGCGCGUCAGAAACGGAAGUGCUAAAAAUCGCUAAAAAUGGGCUUCACUUGUCUCAAUUGAGUUCCAAUGGGGUCGCUGUGUCAAUUUCUUUUACUGUCUAUGCUCGCCAUAGAUGUAAACAGAGAGAAGUAGUUCCGGCUACAAUGUUCUUCCGCCAGACGCAAGCCCCAAAAGUUAUCGACUGCAGCUUUAAUUUAUUUGCAGAGAGAAGGUGUUUAAUAACAGGCGGGUUUCUGAGAUAAAGCAUUUUUAUGCAACCCAUAAAAAAAAAAAAAAAAAAAAAAAAAAAACCUAUAUGCUUAAUUUGCAGAUUUGAUUACAACUUCUGACUUGUAUUGCUCCAUUAUAGCUUAAACAACAUGGCUAUGAAACAGUAAUUUGAUGACACAAAGAAGAGAGAACUUUGUAAAUAAAUAUGUAAAAGUUUGUUAUAUUUUUCCA
Cyprinus carpio (common carp) is the source of this 1171-nucleotide long non-coding RNA. NCBI's taxonomy places the organism in Eukaryota, Metazoa, Chordata, Actinopteri, Cypriniformes, Cyprinidae. The record is from Ensembl.